This 293-nucleotide ribosomal RNA is filed under the name uncultured Planctomycetota bacterium. RNAcentral describes it as "uncultured planctomycete partial 16S ribosomal RNA". The record is from RNAcentral. Lineage: Bacteria; Pseudomonadati; Planctomycetota.
GGACUACCCGGGUAUCUAAUCCCGUUCGCUACCCUAGCUUUCGCGUCUCAGCGUCAGAAAACGUCCAGGACCUCGCUUUCGCCACGGGCGUUCCUUCCGAUCUCAACGCAUUUCACCGCUCCACCGGAAGUUCCAGGUCCCCCUACGUCCCUCAAGACGAGGCGUUUCGGCGCCAGUUCCCCGGUUGAGCCGGGGGCUUUCAGCAACCGACGUCCCCAUCCGCCUACACGCGCUUUAAGCCCAGUGAUUCCGAAUAACGUUAGCACGGUUCGUAUUACCGCGGCUGCUGGCAC